GACGAACGCUGGCGGCGUGCUUAACACAUGCAAGUCGAACGGAAAGGCCCUGCUUUUGUGGGGUGCUCGAGUGGCGAACGGGUGAGUAACACGUGAGUAACCUGCCCUUGACUUUGGGAUAACUUCAGGAACCUGGGGCUAAUACCGGAUAGGAGCUCCUGCUGCAUGGUGGGGGUUGGAAAGUUUCGGCGGUUGGGGAUGGACUCGCGGCUUAUCAGCUUGUUGGUGGGGUAGUGGCUUACCAAGGCUGUGACGGGUAGCCGGCCUGAGAGGGUGACCGGCCACAUUGGGACUGAGAUACGGCCCAGACUCCUACGGGAGGCAGCAGUGGGGAAUAUUGCACAAUGGGCGGAAGCCUGAUGCAGCAACGCCGCGUGCGGGAUGACGGCCUUCGGGUUGUAAACCGCUUUCGCCUGUGACGAAGCGUGAGUGACGGUAAUGGGUAAAGAAGCACCGGCUAACUACGUG
This 468-nucleotide ribosomal RNA is filed under the name uncultured bacterium. RNAcentral's name for it is "partial 16S ribosomal RNA". It matches the Rfam family "Bacterial small subunit ribosomal RNA", at positions 28 to 507 of the family's 1533-position model. The record is from RNAcentral.